UGAAAUUAAUCUCCCCGUGAAGAAGCGGGGAUACUCAUAUAAGACGAGAAGACCCCAUGGAGCUUCAAACCCAACUACACCCCUAGCUCUUAUAGCCCCACAACCCCCCCUAGGCGCCGUGUGCUUGGUUUUAGGUUGGGGCGACCGCGGAGUACAAUAAAACCUCCACAAUGAAUGGGAACACCCCCUUAUCUGAGGGCCACACCCCCUAAGAAUUAGAACACUAACAUAAAAUGAUCCAUUACUUGAUCAAUGAACCAAGUUACCCUGGGGAUAACAGCGCAAUCCAUUUCAAGAGCCCCUAUCGACAAAUGGGUUUACGACCUCGAUGUUGGAUCAGGGUACCCCAGUGGUGCAGCAGCUACUAACGGUUCGUUUGUUCAACGAUUAAAACCCU
Molecule: ribosomal RNA, 397 nt
Filed under: Mantidactylus melanopleura
Lineage: Eukaryota; Metazoa; Chordata; Amphibia; Anura; Mantellidae
Description: partial 16S ribosomal RNA
Rfam family: Bacterial large subunit ribosomal RNA
Source: RNAcentral